This 584-nucleotide ribosomal RNA is filed under the name uncultured bacterium. RNAcentral's name for it is "bacterial SSU rRNA". It matches the Rfam family "Bacterial small subunit ribosomal RNA", at positions 202 to 806 of the family's 1533-position model. The record is from RNAcentral.
GAAAACCACGGUGGUACAGGAUGGGCCCGCGUCUGAUUAGUUAGUUGGCAGGGUAACGGCCUACCAAGACAACGAUCAGUAGCCGGCUUGAGAGAGUGGACGGCCACAUUGGGACUGAGACACGGCCCAGACUCCUGCGGGAGGCAGCAGUGGGGAAUAUUGCACAAUGGGGGGAACCCUGAUGCAGCAAUGCCGCGUGGGUGAAGAAGCACUCCGGUGCGUAAAGCCCUGUCAGCAGGGAAGAAAAUGACAGUACCUGGACAAGAAGCCCCGGCUAACUACGUGCCAGCAGCCGCGGUAAUACGUAGGGGGCAAGCGUUAUCCGGAUUUACUGGGUGUAAAGGGAGCGCAGGCGGCGUGGCAAGUCAGAUGUGAAAACCCGGGGCCCAACCCCGGGAGUGCAUUUGAAACUGCCAUGCUGGAGUGCCGGAGAGGUAAGCGGAAUUCCUAGUGUAGCGGUGAAAUGCGUAGAUAUUAGGAGGAACACCAGUGGCGGAGGCGGCUUACUGGACGGUAACUGACGCUGAGGCUCGAAAGCGUGGGGAGCAAACAGGAUUAGAUACCCUGGUAGUCCACGCCGUAAA